Molecule: ribosomal RNA, 525 nt
Filed under: uncultured bacterium
Lineage: Bacteria
Description: bacterial SSU rRNA
Rfam family: Bacterial small subunit ribosomal RNA
Source: RNAcentral
GAGUUUGAUCCUGGCUCAGGAUGAACGCUGGCGGCGUGCCUAAUACAUGCAAGUCGAGCGAACAGAUAAGGAGCUUGCUCCUUUGACGUUAGCGGCGGACGGGUGAGUAACACGUGGGUAACCUACCUAUAAGACUGGAAUAACUCCGGGAAACCGGGGCUAAUGCCGGAUAAUAUUUAGAACCGCAUGGUUCUAAAGUGAAAGAUGGUUUUACUAUCACUUAUAGAUGGACCCGCGCCGUAUUAGCUAGUUGGUGGGGUAAUGGCUUACCAAGGCAACGAUACGUAGCCGACCUGAGAGGGUGAUCGGCCACACUGGAACUGAGACACGGUCCAGACUCCUACGGGAGGCAGCAGUAGGGAAUCUUCCGCAAUGGGCGAAAGCCUGACGGAGCAACGCCGCGUGAGUGAUGAAGGUCUUCGGAUCGUAAAACUCCGUUAUUAGGGAAGAGCAAAUGUGUAAGUAACUGUGCACGUCUUGACGGUACCUAAUCAGAAAGCCACGGCUAACUACGUGCCAGCAGCC